AUGUCUAAACGACUCUCGGCAACGGAUAUCUCGGCUCUCGCAUCGCAUGAAGAACGUAGCGAAAUGCGAUACUUGGUGUGAAUUGCAGAAUCCCGUGAACCAUCGAGUCUUUGAACGCAAGUUGCGCCCGAAGCCAUUAGGCCGAGGGCACGCCUGCCUGGGCGUCACACCGUCGUUGCCCCCCCAACCCCUUAGGGGGCUUGGACGGGACGGAUGA
This 217-nucleotide ribosomal RNA is filed under the name Dasiphora fruticosa. RNAcentral describes it as "5.8S ribosomal RNA". The stretch from base 11 to 167 matches the Rfam family "5.8S ribosomal RNA". From Rfam's summary of the family: 5.8S ribosomal RNA (5.8S rRNA) is a component of the large subunit of the eukaryotic ribosome. Lineage: Eukaryota; Viridiplantae; Streptophyta; Magnoliopsida; Rosales; Rosaceae. The record is from RNAcentral.